RNAcentral lists this ribosomal RNA (497 nucleotides) under uncultured bacterium. RNAcentral describes it as "partial 16S ribosomal RNA". It matches the Rfam family "Bacterial small subunit ribosomal RNA", at positions 28 to 508 of the family's 1533-position model. The record is from RNAcentral.
GAUGAACGCUGGCGGCGUGCCUAAUACAUGCAAGUCGAGCGAACAGACGAGGAGCUUGCUCCUCUGACGUUAGCGGCGGACGGGUGAGUAACACGUGGAUAACCUACCUAUAAGACUGGGAUAACUUCGGGAAACCGGAGCUAAUACCGGAUAAUAUAUUGAACCGCAUGGUUCAAUAGUGAAAGACGGUUUUGCUGUCACUUAUAGAUGGAUCCGCGCCGCAUUAGCUAGUUGGUAAGGUAACGGCUUACCAAGGCAACGAUGCGUAGCCGACCUGAGAGGGUGAUCGCCCACACUGGAACUGAGACACGGCCCAGACUCCUACGGGGGGCAGCAGUGGGGAAUCUCCCGCAAGGGGCGAAAGUUUGACGGAGCAACGCCGCGUGAGUGAUGAAGGUCUUCGGAUCAUAAAACUUUUUUAUUGGGAAAAAAAAAUUGUGAAAGAAACUAUGCCCGUCUUGAGGGUCCCUAAUCAAAAAGCCACGGCUACCUCCGGC